CCUACGGGGGGCAGCAGUCGAGAAUUAUUCACAAUGGGGGAAACCCUGAUGGUGCGACGCCGCGUGGGGGAAUGAAGGUCUUCGGAUUGUAAACCCCUGUCAUGUGGGAGCAAAUUAAAAAGAUAGUACCACAAGAGGAAGAGACGGCUAACUCUGUGCCAGCAGCCGCGGUAAUACAGAGGUCUCAAGCGUUGUUCGGAAUCACUGGGCGUAAGGCGUGCGUAGGCUGUUUCGUAAGUCGUGUGUGAAAGGCGCGGGCUCAACCCGCGGACGGCACAUGAUACUGCGAGACUAGAGUAAUGGAAGGGGAACCGGAAUUCUCGGUGUAGCAGUGAAAUGCGUAGAUAUCGAGAGGAACACUCGUGGCGAAGGCGGGUUCCUGGACAUUAACUGACGCUGAGGCACGAAGGCCAGGGGAGCGAAAGGGAUUAGAUACCCCAGUAGUC
RNAcentral lists this ribosomal RNA (446 nucleotides) under uncultured bacterium. RNAcentral describes it as "partial 16S ribosomal RNA". It matches the Rfam family "Bacterial small subunit ribosomal RNA", at positions 338 to 795 of the family's 1533-position model. The record is from RNAcentral.